AAUCGAUUUUUUAUUUGAAGAGACCAACACCCUCAGUCCCUUACUUAAACUCCUCCUCUUACUUUGUCUUAUUAUUCUUCAAACAAAUCAUUACUAAAACAAUAUUGCAGUCAAUGUUAAGCUUUCAUGGCCUUCCUCUCUGUAUUUCCGGCAUUACCCACCAUUUUUCCCGGUUUAAAGAUAGUGUUGCAGAGCAUGAAAGAAGAAGAGAAGCCGUGAAAGCCUUUGUUCGAGCUAAUGAAGAAAUGGGUUUUCGAGUAAACAUCGAAGCGAUGGUCGAAGAAUCCAUGGGAGCUGACGUUAAUGGAGAUCGAGCUUUGGAUUUGAAGGAUCUGUCGUGCAAUACUGGCUUGGUUUCUACAGCGAAUGCUGGGUAGUUUUUGGUAAAAAUAUCAUGGAAGCCCUUAUACUAGGUUUUAAAUUUCAUUUUAUCCCCUCUACUUAAUAAGUAGAUAAAUUAAUCCUUAUACAUUAGAUCAAAUAGUAAAUUUUUUUUAUUAAAAAUUUCAUCUGUUUCUACUAUUAAAAAUUGCCAUGGUUGACAGAGUAAUUAAACAGUAAAACAUAAUGUGCCACAUGUACGUUAUGCUAACAUACAUGGAUCAAUUUUUAACAAUAUAGCUUAUUUACUCUUUAAUCUAACUAUAGGGACUAAUUUAUCCAUAUUUUAAGUAGAGGGUACAAAAUAUAAUCUAAUUUUUAGUAUAAGAGCACCAUGGUACUUUUAAGGUAGUUUUUUUUUUGAAUUAAAAGGUUAAAAUUGCUUUUAAUCCCUGUAUUUUGACAAUGUUUGUGAAUCGAUAAAUGUAUUUAGGAAUAA
This is a long non-coding RNA of Gossypium arboreum, 820 nucleotides long. RefSeq lists it as uncharacterized. Lineage: Eukaryota; Viridiplantae; Streptophyta; Magnoliopsida; Malvales; Malvaceae. The record is from RefSeq and is a predicted model, not a curated record. The transcript has 2 exons.